Canis lupus familiaris (dog) is the source of this 3071-nucleotide long non-coding RNA. RefSeq lists it as uncharacterized. The transcript is spliced from 5 exons. The record is from RefSeq and is a predicted model, not a curated record. NCBI's taxonomy places the organism in Eukaryota, Metazoa, Chordata, Mammalia, Carnivora, Canidae.
UCCAUCUGCAGUUAAGGGCCUUUAUUGACCAGACGGGGUAAGGAGGUCUGGGAGCCAGUGAACAGAGGGCAGCUAAGCCUGCCCUCAGCGGGCCACCAGACGGAGCUGGAAGGCUGGGGGGAUGUUGCCCAGGCCAGUGCACUGUGGGCUGAGGUCGAUGUUGGCAGGGUUCCCCACUGGGAGCAAACAGAACCGCUGCAGGAUGGCGGUAAAGAAGAGGAAGAUCUCCGAUCGCGCCAGGCCUGCUCCCAGGCACAUCCUCUUUCCUGAGGACACAGGGAUGCAGGGUGGGAACCAGGCACCCUGGGGCCUGCCCAGCCUUGUCCCCUCCCUCCUGGCCCAGACCUGGGGCAAAGGGCAUGAAGGCAUCAUUGGUCUGAAACUCGCCCUUGUCGUCCAGGAAAUUCGUGGGGUUGAAGCAGUCUGGGUCUUUGAAUUGGGUGGGGUCCCGAUGUGAAGACACAAGCAGAGGAAUCACAAAGGUGCUCCCCAGCCCCCCGCAGAAUCCCCAUGCUGAGUAGGCACCUUGGGCAGGAAGUAGCCAUGCAGGUGGGUGUCACGCGUGAGGGCACGUGGCAGCCCCAAUGGCAGCACACUGAUGAAGCGCUGAAUCUCAUGCAGCACGGCGUUGGUGUAGGGCAGGCUUUCCAGCUCACCGACCUGCCACCUCUGGGUACUUAAGCAGAAUGAGGAGCCCGUAGCGCAGAGUGGUGCUCGUGGUCUCUGUGCCACCGAAGAAAAGGUUGUGCGUCGUCAUUACCAGCGUCUCUUCCUGGAAAUGGCUCUCAGGGUCAUUCUGCUCCUGUGGACAGAGAUGGGUGCUGUGGCAUGCCGGGCUCCUCCUGGUGGGCAGCAUGGGUAGAGUUUAGGGUCGCAGGGGCCUGAACCUUAUCCAUCUGAUCGAGGAAACAGUCGAUGAAAUCGCGGGGCUUCCCAGGCUGUCGCGUCUGCUGGUGCCGCUGGAUUUGCUCAGAGAUGAAGACACGAAGUUCCGUGAAGUUUUGAAAGAUUCGGUGGUGUGGGCCCGGGAGCCAGUCAAGGAGGGUGGGGAAAACGUUGUACAUCUAGGGGGACACGACCUAAUGAUCCAAGGUCUGUAGGUCUAUGUACUCUGGGUUUGGCAUAGGUCGGGCACAGGAGGGAGGGCCUGGGGCUAGCCCUCUCACCUCGCCCCAUCUGGAACUCAUGAUGCGGAAGUUGUCAUUGAAGAGGUCCAGGAGUCUCUGGAACUCUGGGUCCUCAUAGCCAUAGCGGUUCCCAAAGACCACGGAACAGAUAACGUUAGAUACAGCAUUACCUAGUAGCCGCCGGGGGUCGAACGGUGCUCCUGGGGGUGGGAACAGCACGGGAUCUUAACGCUGUGGUUUGGCAAAUGCCAAGAAAGCAAAUACCUCCCUGUGCCCCGCGCCCCAACUCCCCACUUAUUAAGAUUUGAAAGAUUUUAUUUUUAAGUGAUCUCUAUACCAAGCCUGGGGCUCGAACCUACAAUCCUGAUGGGAGAGUCGCUUGCUCCACUGACUGAACCAGCCAGGCGCCCCACCCUGCCCCUUCUUGAUCAUUGGCCACAUCCACAAAAGUCCCCACUCCUUUUCCGACCAGGCCGCACCAGUGGUGGCUUGAAAUUCGCCAAGCAGACAAGCCGCCUCCUCCAGGAUGCGCUCCUCUAUGGUCCGCGUUCCCAGUCCGAACUCCUUAAGUGCUCCCAGAGCAAAAUUGCGCAGCGUCCGCCAGCGCAGCCCGUUGGAAAACACGAUGCCUGGGGGUGGGGCAGGGGAGGGGCGGGCCGCGGGGUGGGCCACGCCCCAUCCGGGAAGCGUCCAGUUGGGGGGCCGGCUUCCUCGCAACCCCUCUACUGCUUUCCAGACUCGUUGGUUGCAACCCCAGCCUUCGCGGCCCUACCCGCACCUCGGCCUCACCCCUGCAGGUCUCCUUCCGCUCCCACCCCAAUUCGGCCCCUACGCUUUAGCUCCGCCCCGCCUCUCGCUCUUUGCCCUCAUUGGCCGCCUCAUUAGGCCCCGCCCCUCCCGGCCCCGCCCCUUAUCUCUCGAGCUGGGUGGUCCCGGCCAGCGCUUCCGCCGCCUGGGACUCACCGUUUCCGUGAGUGAAGCGCUCGAAGACCGCCAUGGCCCCGCGGCCGGAGAAGGCGUCCGCCUGCAGCACUAGUGCGUCCCGCAGCGCCGAGUAGCCGCACAGCACCACUGCAGGGCGCGGGCCCAGCCGCACGGUGAACACUGGGCCCCAGCGGCCAGAGAGCUACGCGGAGCCGGGGCUCAGCGCUGCGGGUCGGGGCUCCCGACCUCCCUCUGCAGCCCGGAGCCCCGACCCCAGCUCCCUCAGUACUGGCGGAGGAGAGAUCAGAUCCCCACUUCCUCCCUCCCUCCCUCCCUCCUUCCUCUGCAGGAGUCCAGGCUCCCAGCUCCCUCUUCUCUCGGGAUCUAAACACCAGGUCCCGAGCCCUCCGCACCCUCAGAACUAGGCGUCUGGGCCCUCGGUACUCUCCUCUCCACUGAACCAGGGGAGCGGACCCGACUUCCCACUCUAGGCUCCUCCUCCCUCAGGACCCGGGAGCGGGGGCGCGGGAUGGGGCGGGAGGGAGGGAUCCCAGGGCCAUUCCGCCAGGCCCACUGUCCUCUCCUCUCUCAAGCAGAUGUCCAGGCUCCCAGCUUCCACCUCUAGCCUACUUCCCUGGGACACAGGCCUCCAGACCCCUCCACCCUCCUCAGAACUCAUGGGGUCAGAGCCCUCAGCUCUCUUCAUUCAGAGAACCAGGAGUUCCAGACCCCUCCCCCCAAAAAAAUCAGGGCUACCUCCAUGAGCGCACGGUCCAGGCGUCGAGACUCCAGCUGCAGCAAGUUCCCAAGCAGUGGGAGAGGCGUCGGCCCCGGGGGUAGGGCCCCCUGAGUCCGAGUGCCCUGGGCACCCCAACUCCGCCUGGCUAGGGCCAGCAGCAGGAGCAGCAGCAGCAGCAGCAGCAGCGCGAACACCCUCCAGUUCCGGCCACCUUGAAGUAAAUGAUUUUGUUUAUUCAUGAGAGACACAGGGAAAGAGAGAGGCAGAGACACAGGCAGAGA